UGCAUGUGAAUAUGCGGAGGAAAAGGAAGACCAACAGCGAUUGCACCUAGGUAAGCGGACGUAGUGAAGCGGCAACGGCUCCAAAUUUGGAAAUCUGGUACCCCUUGCGGGGCCCGGAGUUGUAAUUUGUAGAGGAUGCCUUUUGGGAGUGCCCUUGUCCGAGUUUCCCUGGCAACGGGUACGCCACAGAGGGUGAAGAUGCGCCCGUUAUGGUGGACGCUCGAGAC
Molecule: ribosomal RNA, 227 nt
Filed under: uncultured fungus
Lineage: Eukaryota; Fungi
Description: partial 26S ribosomal RNA
Source: RNAcentral